GGGGGCGAUCGGUAUCGACGGGAUAUGAGACAUGUCGGACUGCACGCGGAGGAUGAUAGUCACCUCCUUAAUCAUCUGUCAUACCUAUAUAUGCCGAUUACGGCUACAUGGCUGCAGCUUAGACUGUAGCUCGUUCCGGGUUUGAUACGCCUUUGGUCUGAUCCAGGAGCGUCACUUACACAGGCUAGUCUCAAAUGUGUCUGCGAAUUUGAGAUGAAAUUCAGCAGGCUGGUUCUUCCUGAUUUUUGUCGCUGAUAAAAGGAAGAAUAAGAUUCCAAUCGGACGACUAAGCGUGUAGGCGUCUUGCAUCACUCUAUUUCGGACGGGAGUUCGAUUCUCCCCGCCUCCACCA
RNAcentral lists this transfer-messenger RNA (352 nucleotides) under bacterium. Its description in RNAcentral is "GCA-2722105 sp015658495 Standard tmRNA". It matches the Rfam family "transfer-messenger RNA". From Rfam's summary of the family: Bacterial tmRNA, also known as 10Sa RNA or SsrA, is named for its dual tRNA and mRNA-like properties. Its role is to liberate the mRNA from a stalled ribosome. RNAcentral also lists the same sequence under 1 other name. The record is from RNAcentral.